GUGACCCCAGGUCAAGCGGGAUUACCUGGUGAGUUUAACCAUAUCAAUAAGCGGAGCAAAAUAAACUUACAAAGAUUAACUUAGUAACGACGAGUGAAUCGGGAACAGCCCAGCCUUAGAAUCCGCUGGCUCCGUCAUCCAAAUUGUAGUUUGGAGAAGCAUCCUCAGAGGCGGACCUAGCCCAUGUCCCCUGAAAGGGGGCACCAGAGAGGGUGAGAGCCCCAUUGUUCUCGAAUCUUAUCGUACCACGAGGCACUGUCUACGAGUUAGGUUAUUUAGGAAUGCAGCCCAAAUCGGGCCUUGAAUUCCUUCUAAGGCUAAAUAUGGGCGACGGACCAAUAGUAAUAAAGUAACGUAAGGGAAAUAUUAAAAGGACUUUUUAAAUAGAGUCAAAGAGUGAUUGAAAUUAUCGUGAGGGAAGCGAAUGGGGGCCGGCAAUAUGCCACAGUCGAAUGUGGAAAGGAGACAAGCCGGUCAGCCGAUUGACCCGGGGCAUGGACCAACGUUGAUUGGGGGAGGUCAAAGCUCGGGCUCUCAAUACAAUCGUUGAAUGCCUUCUCCUCAAUUGUGGAAGGCAGUGCGCGCCUCCGGCGUGCUUCAACAUCUAUGCGCUACGGAUGCUGGCUUGUGGACUCCUUAUUCGACCCAUCUUAAAAAACGGUCUAAGGAGUUUGAUAUGUGUGCGAGUCAACGAGCGAGUAAACUCGUAAGGCGUAAGAAAGUUGAUUGGUGGUAUCCCCUCGAUGGGUUCACCGUCGACCGACCCUUAUAUUUUGAGAAGGGUUCGAGUGUGAGUAUACCUAUUGGGACCCAAAAGAUGAACUAUGCCUGGGCGGGGUGAAGCCAAAGGAAACUCUAGUAGAGGCCCGCAGCAAUAAUGAUGUGUAAAUCGUUCAUCUGACUUGGGUGUAGGGACUGCGGCUACAUUAUCGAGCCGUGCCAUUGAAUCAAGAGCUCUAUGUGGGCCAUUUUUUGUAAGUAGAAAUGGCGAUGUAGGAUGAACUGGAAGCCGGGUUAAGCGCCAAAUAAACUAGCCCCGAAAAUAGAUAGCACUUAAGCGCGCGACCUAUACCCGAUCAUCGGGGAAAGUCCCAAGCCCCGAUGAGUAGGAAGGUGUUGCAGUCGCUGCAAAAUCUUAGGCGCGAGCCUGGGUAGAGUGGCCGUUGGUGGUAGUUGCAAAUUUUCAAAUGAGAACUUUGAAGGCCGAAGAGGGGAAACGUUCCAUGUGAACGACACUUGCACAUAGGUUAGUCGAUCCUAAGGGUUGGGGGAACCCCGACAGAUAGCACAUUUCAUGAGUACUCCAAAAGAUAAUCGGGUUAAAAUUCCUGACCGGGACGUAGCGGUCGACGGAAACGUUAGGAAGUGUAGAGAUGUCGGGAAGAGCCUCUGGAAGAGUUAUCUUUUCUAUUUAACAGCCUGCCUACCCUGGAAUCGGCUUAGCUGGAGGUAGGGUCCAGCGGCUGGAAUAGCACCGCACGUCAUGUGGUGUUUGGUGUACUACCGGUGGCACUUGAAAAUCAAGAGAACCGAAUGCCGUCCAUGCCCGGUCGUACUCAUACCUACAUAAGGUCUCCAAAGGGAACAACCUCUGGUCGAUGGAACAAUGUAGGCAAGGGAAGUCAGUAAAAUGGAUCCGUAACUUUUGGAAAAGGAUUGGCACUGAGGGUUGGGCACGGGAUCCCAGUCCCAAACCUGUCGGCUGUCGGUGGACUACUAGAGCUGCUCCCGCAGCAAGAUCGGGUCACCGCAAGCCGAUCGAGGGAUGGACUGGGAACGGUUCCUUCAGGGGUCUUCCCCGUGCGUCAAGCAACCAACUCAGAACUGGUACGGACAAGGGGAAUCUGACUGUUUAAUUAAAACAAAGAAUUGCGAAUUGUCAUUUCUGCCUAGUGCUCUAAAUGCAAAAGUGAAGAAUUUCAACCAAGCUCGGGUAAACGGCGGGAGUAACUAUGAAUCUCUCAAGGUAGCCAAAUUCCUCGUCAUAUAAUUAGUGAUGACAUAAAUAGAUUAAAGAGAUUCCCGCUAUGCUUGUCUACUAUCCAGCGAAACCACAACCAAGGGAAUGGGCUUGGCAGAAUCAGCGGGGAAAGAAGACCCUCUUGAGCUUGACUCUACUCCGACUUUGUAAAGUGACUUGAGAGGUGUAGUAUAAGUGGGAACCAAAAGGAGAAAGUGAAAUACCACUACUUUUAACGUUAUUUUAUUUAUUUUGUGAUCAGAAGUGGGGCACUACCCUCUUUUUAGACCCAAGGCUCGCUCUGUGGGCCGAUCUGUGCGGAAGACAUUGUUUAGGUGGGGUUAUUUGGCUGGGGUGGCACAUCUGUUAAAAGAUAAUGCAGGUGUACUGAGAUGAGCUCAAUGAGAACAGAAAUAUCGUGUGGAAUAGAAGGGUAAAAGCUAGUUCAAUUCUGAUUUCCAGUACGAAUACGAACCAUGAAAGCCUAGCCUAACGAUCCUUUAGACAUUCGGAAUUCAAAGCUAGAGGUGUCAGAAAAGUGUUACCACAGGGAUAACUAGCCCGUUGCAGCCAAGCAUUCAUAGCAACGUUGCUUUUUCGUCCUUAGAUGUCGGCUCUUCCUAUCAUUGUGAAACAGAAUUCACCAAGUGUUGAACUGUUCACCCACCAAUAGGGAAUGUGAGAUGGGUUUAGACCAUCGUGAGACAGGUUAGUUUUACCCUACUUAUGACAGUAUCACAGUAGUAAUUAAACCUAGUGUAAGAGAAAAUGUUGAUUCACAUAAUUUGUCAUCGCGCUUUGUUGAAAAGCUAUUGGCGUAAAGCUACCGUGUGCUGGAUUAUGAGUGAACGCCUCUAAGUCAGAAUCUGGGCUGGAAGCGACGCAUGCGCCCGCUGUCCGUUGGCCGACCCACUGUAGGGUCCUCGUCCCCCAAGGAAACGUGUCGUUUCCUAAGCCACUGCGGGGGAAGAGUCGUGGUGGCCGCCUAGAUGUAUAAUUUCCAUCGAGCGGAGGGUAGAAUCCUUUGCAGAUAACCUAAAUAUGCGACGGGGUAUUGUAAGUGGAAGAGUGGCCUUGCUGCCACGAUCCACUGAGAUUCAUCCCUUUGUUACUCUGCUUCAU
This 3082-nucleotide ribosomal RNA is filed under the name Capsicum baccatum. RNAcentral describes it as "eukaryotic LSU rRNA". It matches the Rfam family "Eukaryotic large subunit ribosomal RNA". Lineage: Eukaryota; Viridiplantae; Streptophyta; Magnoliopsida; Solanales; Solanaceae. The record is from RNAcentral.